GCUCCAAGCAGCGUCACUGGAGGGACACUCCGGGCCGUCUGCGGUCCGAUGGUGGUGAUGGUGUUACAAGAGGGAGCCUUCUUCCUCUCGGUCCUGUAAAUUGCCUCAUGAAGAACCUCUGGUCUGAGACCCGAGCACAGGUCUGGCUCCUGCUUAUCCUUCAGGUCUCAAAUCAAAAGCUAUCUCCUCAGAGAGGCUCUCCCUGGCCACUCCAUCUAAGAUUGCUCACCGCCCUCUUUGUGAUACGAGUCUCCAGGGUAGCAGGAAGCCAGAUCAGCAUUGAUGGUGAGAAUGCUGGAAGAGAUGAUGGAAAUUUGAAGAUGGAGAAGAAGGUGUAAAAUGUUUGUCCAGGAGAGUCAGCGAGUAAAUGAACUAGGGAAGUUAUAUACAUGCUGGGCAGUAUUGAGGACCCACUUGAGGAUAGAGAUGAUGAAUUACGGUCUUCCCAGCCCCUGAUGACAUUUUAAUUUGGGACUAAGCUUUCUAUUGUAUAAUUUAUAUUCAGAACAUGAUAGCUGCUAAAAUGAUAGCUAAUAAUUUAAAUGAUAUUGGAAUGGAAAACCGGUUCUAAGUCAUAUUGUGUACCGUGGUGUGCAUUGAAUGUUGUAAAUGAUAAGGAAUCAGCUGCCAUUCACUGGGUGUUUACUCUGAGCCAAGCACGAUGGCAAGCAGUAAGCGUGCAUUUUCUCAUUCAGUUCUCACAACAACAGUCUCACAGACAUUAUUAUUACUCCCAUUUCACAGCUUAGGAACGUGAAGCUUACAGAGGUGAAGAUUUCCCCGAGGUCACAGAGCCAGACAAUGGCAGAGCUUGAGACCUAGGCUCAUACCCAUCAGGCUCGUUGACUGUUUUCUUGCCUGUGGCCCCCAGUGU
This is a long non-coding RNA of Cervus elaphus (red deer), 874 nucleotides long. RefSeq lists it as uncharacterized. The record is from RefSeq and is a predicted model, not a curated record. Lineage: Eukaryota; Metazoa; Chordata; Mammalia; Artiodactyla; Cervidae. The transcript has 3 exons.